GCCUACGGGGGGCAGCAGUGAGGAAUAUUGGUCAAUGGGCGGAAGCCUGAACCAGCCAAGUCGCGUGAGGGAAUAAGGCCCUACGGGUCGUAAACCUCUUUUGCCGGGGAGCAAGGGCGGGGACGUGUCCCGGCCCGGAGGGUACCCGGAGAAAAAGCAUCGGCUAACUCCGUGCCAGCAGCCGCGGUAAUACGGAGGAUGCGAGCGUUAUCCGGAUUUAUUGGGUUUAGGGUGCGUAGGCGGGCUUUUAAGUCAGCGGUAAAAAUUCGGGGCUCAACCCCGGCCGGCCGUUGAAACUGGGGGCC
Molecule: ribosomal RNA, 305 nt
Filed under: uncultured bacterium
Lineage: Bacteria
Description: bacterial SSU rRNA
Rfam family: Bacterial small subunit ribosomal RNA
Source: RNAcentral